AGAGUUUGAUCCUGGCUCAGGAUGAACGCUGGCGGCGUGCCUAAUACAUGCAAGUCGAACGCACUGUGGUUCAACUGAUUUGAAGAGCUUGCUCUGAUAUGACGAUGAACAUUGCAGUGAGUGGCGAACGGGUGAGUAACACGUGGGAAACCUACCUCUUAGCGGGGGAUAACAUCUGGAAACAGAUGCUAAUACCGCAUAACACUAGCAACCGCAUGGUUGCUACUUGAAAGAUGGUUCUGCUAUCACUAAGAGAUGGUCCCGCGGCGCAUUAGUUAGUUGGUGAGGUAAUGGCUCACCAAGACGAUGAUGCGUAGCCGAGUUGAGAGACUGAUCGGCCACGAUGGGACUGAGACACGGCCCAUACUCCUACGGGAGGCAGCAGUAGGGAAUCUUCCACAAUGGACGAAAGUCUGAUGGAGCAACGCCGCGUGUGUGAUGAAGGGUUUCGGCUCGUAUAACACUGUUGAAAGAGAAGAAUAGCAUCAAGGGUAACUGCUUGGUGUGUGACGGUAUCUUAGCAAAAAGGAACGGCUAACUACGUGCCAGCAGCCGCGGUAAUACGUAUGUUCCAAGCGUUAUCCGGAUUUAUUGCGCGUAAAGCGAGCGCAUACGGUUUUUUUAAGUCCGAAGUGAAAGCCCACAGCUUAGCUGUGGAAGUGCUUUAGAAACUGGUAUGACUUGAGUGC
RNAcentral lists this ribosomal RNA (689 nucleotides) under uncultured bacterium. Its description in RNAcentral is "bacterial SSU rRNA". It matches the Rfam family "Bacterial small subunit ribosomal RNA", at positions 8 to 649 of the family's 1533-position model. The record is from RNAcentral.